CGAAGGAUGCAAGCGUUAUCCGGAUUCAUUGGGUUUAAAGGGAGCGUAGGCGGACUUGUAAGUCAGUGGUGAAAUCUGUGGGCUUAACCCACAAACUGCCAUUGAUACUGCAGGUCUAGAGUACAGUUGCCGUUGGCGGAAUAUGACAUGUAGUGGUGAAAUACUUAGAUAUGUCAUAGAACACCGAUUGCGAAGGCAGCUAACGAAGCUGUAACUGACGCUGAGGCUCGAAAGUGCGGGGAUCAAACAGGAUUAGAUACCCUGGUAGUCCGCACUGUAAACGAUGAUUACUCGUUGCUGGGGAGCAAUUUCCAGUAACCAAGCGAAAGCGAUAAGUAAUCCACCUGGGGAGUACGCCGGCAACGGUG
This 368-nucleotide ribosomal RNA is filed under the name uncultured organism. RNAcentral's name for it is "bacterial SSU rRNA". It matches the Rfam family "Bacterial small subunit ribosomal RNA", at positions 526 to 896 of the family's 1533-position model. The record is from RNAcentral.